AUCUAGCUGACCAGUCCCAAAUAAGACGAAACAUGAGUCUUGGAU
Schistosoma mattheei is the source of this 45-nucleotide non-coding RNA. The record is from Rfam. NCBI's taxonomy places the organism in Eukaryota, Metazoa, Platyhelminthes, Trematoda, Strigeidida, Schistosomatidae.